This 275-nucleotide ribosomal RNA is filed under the name uncultured microorganism. RNAcentral's name for it is "partial 16S ribosomal RNA". It matches the Rfam family "Archaeal small subunit ribosomal RNA", at positions 330 to 603 of the family's 1478-position model. The record is from RNAcentral.
GUGCAGCAGGCGCGAAUACUCUGCAAUGCGCGAAAGCGCGACAGGGUUACCCCGAGUGUCGUCCGCUGAGGACGACUUUCCCAGUGUAGAUAGCUGGGGAAGUAAGAGAGGCGAAGUCUGGUGUCAGCCGCCGUGGUAAUACCAGCUCUCCGAGUGGUGGGGACGGCUUAUUGGGCCGUAAACGACAUCCGUAGCCGGUCUAACAAGUCCCUUCGUUAAAUACCAGCGAUUCAAUCGCUGGACUGCAAGGGAGUACUGUUAGACUAGGGGCGGGG